This 429-nucleotide ribosomal RNA is filed under the name Gemmatimonadota bacterium. RNAcentral's name for it is "Gemmatimonadetes bacterium partial 16S ribosomal RNA". It matches the Rfam family "Bacterial small subunit ribosomal RNA", at positions 355 to 776 of the family's 1533-position model. Lineage: Bacteria; Pseudomonadati; Gemmatimonadota. The record is from RNAcentral.
UAGGGAAUCUUCGGCAAUGGACGAAAGUCUGACCGAGCAACGCCGCGUGAGUGAAGAAGGUUUUCGGAUCGUAAAACUCUGUUGUUAGAGAAGAACAAGGACGUUAGUAACUGAACGUCCCCUGACGGUAUCUAACCAGAAAGCCACGGCUAACUACGUGCCAGCAGCCGCGGUAAUACGUAGGUGGCAAGCGUUGUUCGGAUUUAUUGGGCGUAAAGCGAGCGCAGGCGGUUUCUUAAGUCUGAGGUGAAAGCCCCCGGCUCAACCGGGGAGGGUCAUUGGAAACUGGGGGACUUGAGUGCAGAAGAGGAGAGUGGAAUUCCAUGUGUAGCGGUGAAAUGCGUAGAUAUAUGGAGGAACACCAGUGGCGAAGGCGGCUCUCUGGUCUAGAACUGACGCUGAGGCUCGAAAGCGUGGGGAGCAAACAGG